Long non-coding RNA from Astatotilapia calliptera (eastern happy), 1399 nucleotides. The record is from Ensembl. NCBI's taxonomy places the organism in Eukaryota, Metazoa, Chordata, Actinopteri, Cichliformes, Cichlidae.
AGUUGAUGCGUACUGUGCAAAAGGCUUCAGUCACUCCUUGCUUCUUUAUAUUUUGCUACCAAAGAGCCAGACUUUCUUGUAAUUAUUUAAGGUGGAAUUGAGCGAUAGUUCUCCAAGCUUUUUGAAGGUCUGUAUUGAACACGAGGAAUAUGGAUGGAAGGGUGGAUGUCAACAAAUGGCUGAGGCCAAAAUAGUGGAGUGAAAAUCAGUGGAGAAGAUCUAAAGGAGUGUUUUGUGUUUUUGGUCCUUUUAUUCUUCUUUAUUUCAUCGUGUUCUCUGUGUGUCUUUUAUUUCCUAGUUUCGUCUGCUUAUACUUCUAACUUUAUUUAGUGCUUCUAGUUUUGCUUGUCUGAGUAUUUGGUCCUGUUCAUGUUUGGUCUCGUCUUACCCCUGCGUGUUUCCUCCCCAGCAUUUGCUGCAUUGUCUUCAUGUUUGUCUAGUUGCCUGUUUUCUGCAGUCAUGUCUCUGUGUGUGUUUGUGUGUUCCCAUUACUUCCUGUUUUACUUUGGUAGUCUCCUGUCUGUGUACACCAUGUUCUGUUUUGCUUCUCUUACUUUUUUUUCUUUCUUUUUUUGCCUGUCCCGUUUGGCUCUUUUGCCAUCAGAAUUGUUGUCUAAAGGCAAAGAAAGAUGCCCAACGGAUUUACUUGCUUCUCUUACUUUGAAGGCACCCCAUCUUAGUCCCAGCUGUGUUUCCUGUUCCCUUGUCACUCCUCGUGUAUUUAAGCCCUUUGCUUUCUUCUGUCCAGCGCUGCGUUUUCCUGCUUUUCCUAGCGUUCUGCAAUAAAGCUGUCUUUGAGUCUGCAUUUUGGCUCCUUCGUUCCUCCUGCCUGCAGCACACAGGACAUGACAGUUUUGUGAAUUCAGAUUUGAAACGUUUUAUUCAAACCUUCAUCAGUAUGUACAGAGGAGGUCAGGGGAGAUGCACAGCAGUGUCUACAUCCAUCUGUAAAACAUGGUGGAGCUCGUGGUGAUGGUGUACUGGCUGAAACGCUGGUCUUGUCGACACUGAUGGAGUUAUCUAUGCAACAAAGUGCUGUCAGAGUUUGAUCCACCGUGUGACACAGUGUGGAUCUGAUUGGCAACAGCUUCGUUUUUCAGCAUGACAGUGAUUCCAUGUAUUUUUGCACAUUUCAGUAAAUAACUGAACUUAUUCUUCCAGCAAAAUAUCAGGAAAUUAGGGGUCACUAAAGACUUCUGCACAGUACUUGUUGUUUUAAACUUUUUUUCCUAACUUGUGACAAAGCCAAAGAAAGCUGAUGUCUCCUUGUUCUUUGUGCGUGAUGCAAGAAAAUCCAGAAGCUUUAUUAUGCACGUAGACAUCUAACAGUGAAACCUAAUGUCCCCUAAAAUCAGGUCUGAGUUAUUAAGCUGUUCUGAUGGGUUUUGAUCUUUCUCAG